RNAcentral lists this non-coding RNA (29 nucleotides) under Rattus norvegicus (Norway rat). Lineage: Eukaryota; Metazoa; Chordata; Mammalia; Rodentia; Muridae. The record is from RNAcentral.
UGGUGGUCAGAGAAUAAAGAGAGACAAGC